UUAUCUACGAAAUUUCCUGAACAGAAGGGAGAUACAUUUGAGAGACAUUAUACAAGGAGAAUUGACAGACUGUGACAGUGAACGUUCCUGAGGUCUACUGUGUGCAGAAGUAGAUUGACAUCUUAAGGGUUUCUAGAUCAAGUUACCUUUGAUAAAAAUAGAGAAGGAAACAGGAGAAGGGAUAAAAUGGGCUAGGUUAUACAACUGCUUCUUAUUCUGAAAAUUCAGUCUGAAGGAACUGGACAAAAAUACAAACCAAAGUCUGACUUCCGAUUUCAACGUUGAAAACCAGUUGAUGUGGUUGGGCUUUGUGUCCCAACCCAAAUCUCACCUUGAAUUGUAAUCCCCAUAAUCCCCAUGUGUCUAGGGAUCAUGGAGGUGGUUUCCCCCAUGCCGUUCUUGUGAUAGUGAGUUCUCAUGAGAUCUGAUAGUUUUAUAAGGGGCUGUUCCCCCUUUGCUCCUCACUGUUCUAUCUCAUGCAGCUAUGUGAGAAGGUCCAAGCGUGCUUCUCUUUCACCUUCUGCCAUGAUUGUUAGUUUCCUGAGGCCUCCUGAGCCAUGUGGAACUGUGAGUCAAUCAAACUUCUUUCCUUUAUAAAUUACCCAGUCUCGGGUAUUCCUUCAUAGCAGUGUAAAAAUGGACUAAUACACCAAGUGAUCCAGACCCACCUGAAGUAGCAGUACUAUCUGAAAAACUGGCUUCUCAUGGAGAAGUAACAUUCUUGUUGCCCAUUUUCACUUUAUAUAUGCAGUUCCUCCUGCUUUGAAGAGGCUCUCCACCCACUCCCUCCUUUCCUGUCUUACUUGCCACAUACGCUCCUGUGACUGAUCUUACUCAUAUUUCUGAUCUUAGAAAAGGCUGCUGUGUUCAAUGGCCCUGCAGUGUUUGUCAUCUUCCUAUUAAAAUGAAUAGGACUGUGCUGAAUCCUAUGCUGAAUUUGAUUGUUUUUUUCCUAUUAAAACACUAAUUAUAUUGCA
Molecule: long non-coding RNA, 977 nt
Organism: Sapajus apella (tufted capuchin)
Lineage: Eukaryota; Metazoa; Chordata; Mammalia; Primates; Cebidae
Exons: 2
Source: RefSeq, a predicted model, not a curated record